UCUCCAAAAAUAAAUAUUUUUAAUUUUAUUUUUUAGUAAUUAGAGUAAAUAUAAUAUAUUUUAAUUAUAAUAUAUUAGGCAAAACUUAGGUCAAGUAAAAAAUCUUCAGUAGGGACGUCUGCAAACCAAUCCAAUGCAAUACAAAAUCAAGCCCAAAUAGAUGCUGCCUCAUUUGCAUUUUUGGGUCUAAAGCAUGAUUUCAUAAUAACAAAACGAUACAUGUCUAUGGAUUAAUCUAUGGUAUACUACUAUGUACAGGCUAUAAAUUUAUGAGUUUCUGACGAUGGUUCCUGAAUACAUGGUCUCCCUUUUAUCCUAUGCUUCCAAAGCUUAGAUCUUUGUGCCUUGAUGAUGAUAUAUAAUUUUCUAAAACGAAAUUUAGCUAACUUUCCUAAUAUUCCCUAGAUGAUGUGGCAUACCCCCGGUUUGGUUGCAAUGUGGAAAACGAAAAUUUAAAAGCAAGACCUGUUGCUUUCGAAAAAUGGAAGACCAGUUUGCGUCAACGAGUCCUUUAAAACAUAAAAGUGUCAUGGCUGGGACAAGUCGAAGGAGAAUCUAAGCAAAAGAAAAAAAAGGGUGCGUGAAUUUUUUCAAUUACUCUUUUUUAUUUUUUCCCCCCAAUUCCCUAGACAUCACGCGAUGGUCCACCAUCACUUAUUUCUUCCCAAAUAAAAUUCUCUCGCAUCAGAUUCUUCACAUGAUUCAUUUGCAUAAGCUUUGGAUGAAGUACAUCACCAUCAAUGGAUGCAUCAUUAGUCUAAUUAUUUAUCAAACAUUUGAAAUGCAUCAUCUAGAAACCUAUCAACGUCUGCCUCCAUUCCAUAAAUAAAUUAGUAUAAAACCUAUUUUCUUUCAAGAGCAUCAUAAAUUAUCUAACAACCCUCCAAAUCUAAGUCAAAAUGAAUCUAAUACCCUAGCAAGCAGUUCAUAUUAAAGUUCAACGCAUGCUGGGAAUAAGAUGUAAUUCACCUGUUCACAUCCUCGGCACGUAGAUUUAGACAAACAUUUCCUUUACUAAACCUGAUGUUAGAAAAUAGCCAGUGGGGACUUCUUUCAGUUUUCUGCCCUCUUUUUGAAACAUUCUCUGCACUCCAGUCUAGCUAUCAACCUAUUGCUUCAUUUUAUUUUCCCUAGUCCGGUAACGUUCAAAUCCUUAGCUUUAUAUAAACAAAGAAGCUUUACUUUGGGACUCCCUGCCGCCCCAUGAGCGUUGAGCUGAUUAUUUUAGCGACCGCGCACCAUCUUCGGAAGAGGACCACACUACCAUAAAAGUAGUAAUAAUGUCCAUAGUCUCAGUAGAUUUUUCUAAUUUUUUUUUUUAUCCUCUACUUUGCAAUAACCGUUGGAUGGCAAAAGACUAUAGCAUCUUCUAAACUAUGCAUGUAUAUCGAAAAGAUAAACAAGACCGCUGAUUGGAUCACUGCCUAGCACUUCUGAGAGGUUUUCUAAACAUAAAGUCGGUCCUCCAUUGCUUUAUCAUUUUCUUUCU
This 1489-nucleotide long non-coding RNA is filed under the name Phoenix dactylifera (date palm). RNAcentral describes it as "long non-coding RNA (PDAC_LNC013702)". The record is from RNAcentral. Lineage: Eukaryota; Viridiplantae; Streptophyta; Magnoliopsida; Arecales; Arecaceae.